Molecule: long non-coding RNA, 859 nt
Filed under: Brassica rapa (field mustard)
Lineage: Eukaryota; Viridiplantae; Streptophyta; Magnoliopsida; Brassicales; Brassicaceae
Description: long non-coding RNA (BRAP_LNC003747)
Source: RNAcentral
CCGUCAAACCGCCUAAACCACCAGCAGCCAAACCACCAAAACCACCGGCAGUAAAACCUCCUAAACCCCCCACCAAACCUCCCACCCUUAAACCACACCCCCACCCUAAACCUCCCACCGUUAGACCACAUCCACACCCUAAGCCCCCUACCAAACCUCAUCCCAUCCCAAAACCGCCCACCGUUAAACCACCACCCUCCACACCCAAACCGCCCACAAAACCACCCACCGUUAAACCACCUCCAUCCACCCCUAAGCCGCCCACCAAACCACCCACCGUCAAACCACCACCCUCCACCCCAAAACCGCCCACCAAGCCACCCACCGUCAAACCACCUCCGUCCACCCCUAAACCACCUACCCACAAGCCACCAACAGUGUGCCCACCGCCAACACCAACACCAACCCCACCUGUUGUAACGCCACCAACACCACCAACACCAACUCCACCAGUCGUUACGCCACCAACACCAGCCCCACCUGUUGUAACGCCACCAACACCAACACCACCGGUCGUAACGCCACCGACACCAACCCCUCCUGUCGUAACACCUCCAACACCACCGGUCGUAACGCCACCGACACCAACUCCUCCUGUCGUAACACCACCAACACCACCGGUCGUAACGCCACCGACACCAACCCCUCCUGUCGUAACACCUCCAACACCACCGGUCGUAACGCCACCGACACCAACCCCUCCUGUCGUAACACCACCAACACCAACUCCACCUAAGCCAGAAACGUGCCCAAUCGACACGUUGAAGCUAGGCGCUUGUGUAGACGUUCUUGGAGGUUUAAUUCACAUCGGGCUUGGUGGAAGUAGCGCCAAGAAAGAGUGUUGUCCGGUUUUGGGAGG